GCCAGCAGCCAUAUCACCCUGCAGAUCUCAACUGGCUACCCACUGAAGCUCAGCAGGGUUAUGCCUGGUCAGUACUUGGAUGGAGACCUCCUGGGAAGCUAUGGUUGCUGCUGGAA
Molecule: ribosomal RNA, 116 nt
Filed under: Lepisosteus oculatus (spotted gar)
Lineage: Eukaryota; Metazoa; Chordata; Actinopteri; Semionotiformes; Lepisosteidae
Source: RNAcentral